UGAACUUCAUUCACUCUUCAAUCCUUCUCUCUCACUCGGGAACUAUCGAUCUUUUAGAACCAUGACAAAACCACCGACUCAUCCUUUAGCCUCUCAACUGAGGAUCAUGCUAGCCAUUUGAGGAGUAUUUUAUUUCUCUUUUGUUUCUUUUUAUCUGGGUUAGUACUGAUCUACUCUUGGAAAUUUCCCACAAUUGUCCUGAUUAUGGAAAGAUUUACUGGGGAUAAGGGUUCUUCUCUAUCAUGGAGUUUUAAUUUUUUAUUUCACAAGAUUAAUGAUCUUUAGCGGCUCUAUUUCUCCUUCUUUCCUCUCCUCUUUCUUUACUCUUUUGUUGUUUCUUUUUCGUUCUUUCAGAUUAAUAGCUCAAAACUGACAUCGAUCCAAACCCAUCAUCCCUCAUCCCAACUCGAAAACGAUCUGAAUGGAAAUUUUCUACUUCAAAGCUUGCCUCCUAGCCCGCUGAAGAAAAGCACAGAAAGAAAGCUUUUACUCGGAGCCCACUUAACUCAGUGAGUCACAGCUACCGAUUCACCAUGGAAGGUCAAGAAGGGACUCAGCAAUCUUAUCUCCAGCUAGCGAACAAGUUCUUCCUUCUCUCGCACCCAGACGUUCAAAACAUUGAAAAGGUUCGGCUCAAAAGGAGGUUUUCAACACCAUCAAAGGUUCAAAGCCGAUUGUAAAUCAAAUCGAUGAAUUUCACCGAUUGUUACUGGCUUUUGCUUUUACUCUGGUUUUGUGUCGUUGAGAGUGGACUGAGGAGACUGGAUUUUGGGAAUAGAGACGCAUACUUGUUUGGGUGCUUUCAUUUUAAACCGUUGGUCAUCAAUUAAAACAGCCAACGGCUGUGAUUGAU
Rosa rugosa (rugosa rose) is the source of this 853-nucleotide long non-coding RNA. RefSeq lists it as uncharacterized. Lineage: Eukaryota; Viridiplantae; Streptophyta; Magnoliopsida; Rosales; Rosaceae. The transcript is spliced from 2 exons. The record is from RefSeq and is a predicted model, not a curated record.